GAUGAAGAACGCAGUGAAAUGCGAUACUUGGUGUGAAUUGCAGAAUCCCGUGAACCAUCGAGUCUUUGAACGCAAGUUGCGCCCGAAGCCAUUAGGCCGAGGGCACGCCUGCCUGGGUGUCACACGUCGUUGCCCCCCCAUCUACUCCUUCGGGAUUGCGGGGGGCGGAUGAUGGCCUCCCGUGCGCCUCGUCGCGCGGUUGGCAUAAAUGCCAAGUCCUCGGCGACGCACGCCACGACAAUCGGUGGUUGCGAAACCUCGGUUGCCCGUCGUGUGCGGUCGUCGCGCAUCGAGGGCUUGAAAAAAUUGCCGGGCUCCGGCUCGGCUUUCAACGCGACCCCAGGUCAGGCGGGGUUACCCGCUGAAUUUAAGCAUAUCAAUAAGCGGAGGA
RNAcentral lists this unclassified non-coding RNA (391 nucleotides) under soil metagenome. RNAcentral describes it as "partial contains 5.8S ribosomal RNA, internal transcribed spacer 2, and large subunit ribosomal RNA". The stretch from base 1 to 122 matches the Rfam family "5.8S ribosomal RNA", at positions 35 to 154 of the family's 154-position model. The record is from RNAcentral.